This 70-nucleotide transfer RNA is filed under the name Cryptophyllium westwoodii. RNAcentral's name for it is "tRNA-Val". Lineage: Eukaryota; Metazoa; Arthropoda; Insecta; Phasmatodea; Phylliidae. The record is from RNAcentral.
CAAAAUUUAGUUUAUAGAAAAUUAUUCAUUUACAUUGAAUGGAAUUAUUGUGCAAUUCUUUAUGUUUUGA